Molecule: small nuclear RNA, 281 nt
Filed under: Erinaceus europaeus (western European hedgehog)
Lineage: Eukaryota; Metazoa; Chordata; Mammalia; Eulipotyphla; Erinaceidae
Description: 7SK RNA
Rfam family: 7SK RNA
About the family: 7SK was discovered as an abundant small nuclear RNA in the mid-70s but a possible function has only recently been suggested. Two independent studies have found that 7SK RNA binds the CDK9/cyclin T complex (known as elongation factor P-TEFb).
Source: Rfam by way of RNAcentral
GGAUGUGAGGGCGAUCUGUCUGCGACAUCUGUCACCCCACUGAUGGCCAAGGUUGAUUCGGCUGAUCUGGCUGGCUAGACAGGUGUCCCCAUUCCUCCCUCACUGCUCCCUGUGCGAGCUUAGUGGAAGAGGACCGCCUUCCGGGAAUAGAGGGUUUACGAGUAGCUGCACUCCCCUGCUAGAACCUCCAAACAUGCUCUCAAAACUCUAGUUACAAAGGGAAAGACAGGAACUUACGGGGGAAUAUUAGAGUUACGCAUCACAACAGAUUAAAAGUAUUU